GGGGAAUAUUGGGCAAUGGGGGCAACCCUGACCCAGCGACGCCGCGUGAGGGAAGACGGCCUUCGGGUUGUAAACCUCUUUUGUACGGGAAGAAGGAAGUGACGGUACUGUACGAAUAAGUCCCGGCUAACUACGUGCCAGCAGCCGCGGUAAUACGUAGGGGACGAGCGUUGUCCGGAAUUACUGGGCGUAAAGGGCGCGCAGGCUGUGCUGCAAGUCAGCUGUGAAAUGUCUGGGCUUAACCCGGGCAUGCGGUUGAGACUGCAGUGCUGGAGUGCUGUAGAGGCAAGUGGAAUUCCCAGUGUAGCGGUGAAAUGCGUAGAUAUUGGGAAGAACACCGGUGGCGAAGGCGACUUGCUGGGCAGCAACUGACGCUGAGGCGCGAAAGCCAGGGGAGCAAACG
Molecule: ribosomal RNA, 403 nt
Filed under: uncultured bacterium
Lineage: Bacteria
Description: bacterial SSU rRNA
Rfam family: Bacterial small subunit ribosomal RNA
Source: RNAcentral